This 433-nucleotide ribosomal RNA is filed under the name uncultured bacterium. RNAcentral's name for it is "partial 16S ribosomal RNA". It matches the Rfam family "Bacterial small subunit ribosomal RNA", at positions 29 to 507 of the family's 1533-position model. The record is from RNAcentral.
AACGAACGCUGGCGGCAUGCCUAACACAUGCAAGUCGAACGAGACCUUCGGGUCUAGUGGCGCACGGGUGCGUAACGCAUGGGAACCUGCCCUUAGGUUCGGAAUAACUCCCCGAAAGGGGUGCUAAUACCGGAUAAUGUCUUCGGACCAAAGAUUUAUCGCCUUUGGAUGGGCCCGCGUUGGAUUAGCUAGUUGGUAGGGUAAAAGCCUACCAAGGCGACGAUCCAUAGCUGGUCUGAGAGGAUGAUCAGCCACACUGGGACUGAGACACGGCCCAGACUCCUACGGGAGGCAGCAGUGGGGAAUAUUGGACGAUGGGCGAAAGCCUGAUCCAGCAAUGCCGCGUGAGUGAUGAAGGCCUUAGGGUUGUAAAGCUCUUUUACCCGGGAUGAUAAUGACAGUACCGGGAGAAUAAGCUCCGGCUAACUCCGUG